AGCUUGUGCAGCCGCUACCAACGCUGAGCGAGGUGCGCAAGAAAGUGCAGGUCUCCCUCAACACGCUCCGAGACGACCACAAAAGGCACCUCAACCCUACCCCAUACAAGGUAUCAGUGACAGACAACUUGUAUAAUUUUCUCCACGAACUCUGGCUUGAAAAUGCACCCAUAGGGGAGCUGUACUGAUGCAUUACCAUCUACAAGUCUGUCCUGUUAGUUGAAAAGUGCUGGCAUGUAAUGAUAGCGACCAUAUACGAAUGUAUUGUGAUGCUGGGGUACUAUCGAUACAUCGCUAUGGUAACCAUCACUGUAUCAAAGUAAUGGUGUUUAUUUUGUUGAUGAUUUGCUAUAGCAACCGUCUACAACGUAUGCGUCGUGAAUUCAUGAUAUCAGAAUAUUGACGUGUGACAGCAAGAAUUCCCAACAAAUAAUGACAGCUUAUUUUGGGCACAAUCAUGGCAUUAUUUACUAGCCUAAAAAUAUACUGUGAAGCAUAUAGUCUUAGUGACCAUUACUGUCAUAGGGUGUUACAGGUUCUGGUAAUUUUAAAUGUGAGGACAUAACAAAAUUUUUUAAUGAGAAUAGUUUCAAAUUAUCACGGAGACAUGAUUGUGUUUCCAUCUAGUAUUUCCCUGCUUGGAUUCAAUCCAUUAAUUAGAUAGUGAUAUCUGAGAAGAAGAGGAGAACUUGAAAAAUAGGGGGCAUGUAAUCUCACAUAAUGCAUACACGGAAAAGUGCGAGGUUAAACCACAAUGCACUAAAUAAUUUACCAAUGCGGACGUAUAUAUUAAUGUUAUGUAGUAAAAAGAAUAUAUACACAAAUCAUUUUUAGAAAAACAUUUUUAGAAACGUACGUGAAUGGAACUGAUUAUACAUAUACUUAAUAUAAUACUACCUGAAAAUAUGCCUGAAACUGUUAUUGCAUCUUAUGUUAUACUUAAAUUAGCUACGCAGAAAUAUUGCUCCAAGAAUUUUCUGCUCCUGCUCAAAUGGCAUGUUCUGAUAUUCUUGUAAGAUGCGAAUAUGUAGCUUAAUUUGUGUGUUUGUUAUGCAGCGUUUUAAACACGUUUUAUGAAAUGUUUUAUAUGGUAAAUGUACGUUAAUAAGCACCCGUUGACCUUCCACGUCCUCAACGUUACCAGCUAUGGAAAAGUGCAGAGUCAAGAAACGUCAUCAAGGGUGUGCUUGCUAUUGUGGGCAGUUUGUACAAGCAACUCGCAAUGUAACCAACAGAUAUCAUCUACUUUUUAUUGUAAACAAGACCAAUUUUAGCUUAAAUCUAUAUUGAGUAUACAUAUGUUCCUAGUUGUAUGGAUACCUAAAGAUGUCCCUUUCCUGUAACUAGUGUAAUCAAUUUGUAAAAAAAACGAUAAUUACGAUACAAACCUCGAUGAUACACGUGUCGAAAAGUUUGACUAUCAUGGUACGCAUAUCGAUACUUUACUGAAUAAAAUCCUUAUCAUAUGGCAGCAUAGUUUCAUCAGAAAACGGAAGUUGCGUGACACAAUUCACCGCUCAACAGCAUUCGUUUACUUACCACUUCACCAUAUUGAUUUGCAAGCUUUCACGUGAUUGGUAGAGCCCCGUUUCAGUUUAUAGUUUGCUAGAUAGUUUUUCUUUAAAGUAGUGCAAUACGUAUCGUAUCAAUGCUAGGUAGUUUCUUAUCGUACCAUAAACGGUGUAUUGUGAUACUGUAUCGCCCAACUCUCACCAUAUAUUGCCUCAAAGAAAAUUGUAAUUGGUUUUUUCACGAUUUCUGUCAGUAGCUGUAAUCUGUGCGUGCGUGCGUGCGUGCGUGCGUAUUGCUGACUUGAGGGACUUGUGCGGUGUGGCGAAUACAAAGCAUUGCAUGUAACAUCUCUUCCAGGUAGUUAAGCUACCUAAAAAAGUGGGAAGGUAAAGUUUGUCCUAGGUGUGAACAAAGACCAAUUGGAACUGCAAUUUUGAGUUUUCUCCUAGAGAAUAUUGCACCAGCUCUGUUGUCACGCCUUUGCAUUUACGAGUUUGACAUGUUAGAUUUUCGUUUGCGAUCUCUUUCUAUGGAUCUCUUUCUUUUUACUAAUUCUAAUGUGCCUUUUUAUUGUAGCAUGUACUACGUAGAUAUAUUAUAAAUGACAUAGUUUUCAUAUAACAGCAAUGAAAAAAUAAUUUGACAUGUUGCGAGAAAAGGUUAGAAUUAGAUUUUUAGAGGACAAUGAAGGACUUGUGCAAAAAUCAUUUAUUAAUGUGAGAUUUUUUGCAAUUAUUUACUCAGGUUGGCAGCUAUAGCAUGAGUAUGUGCUCUCUCUCCAUUAUUAAUUGUUUUAUGAUCUUGUACAUAGUGUGAUCGGUGGUGGCACCAAUGUUAGUUAGAUCUUGUCUUGUUUUGCUGGCUGCUUCAUUUGUGUGUGGCGAAUCAUUUUAUUUCAGUGCGUUUUAGAUUCUGCUUAAAAAGUACAAAGUUUAUAAAUCAGGUUCUUGUAAUUCUUAAAUUUACUGAAAUUAGACUAGCCGAAAUAGAAGAGUCUUACACGUUUUUGGUUUUACAUGUUAUAAAAACUGUUCGAAAAGCA
This is a long non-coding RNA of Priapulus caudatus, 2554 nucleotides long. RefSeq lists it as uncharacterized. Lineage: Eukaryota; Metazoa; Priapulida; Priapulimorpha; Priapulimorphida; Priapulidae. The record is from RefSeq and is a predicted model, not a curated record. The transcript is spliced from 2 exons.